CCUCGUCUCGUCUAUCAAUAUUAUAUCAUCAGCAAAGAGCAUACACCAAGGCACAUCCCCUUGGAUAUGUCGGGUCAGAGCAUCCAACACUAAGGCGAACAACAGGGGGCUCAGCGCCGAUCCUUGAUGGAGCCCCAUUACCACAGGAAAAUGGUCUGAUACGCCCCCCACCGUCCUAACCUAGACUUAGCUCCAUUGUACAUGUCCUUGAUU
Molecule: long non-coding RNA, 213 nt
Filed under: Nicotiana benthamiana
Lineage: Eukaryota; Viridiplantae; Streptophyta; Magnoliopsida; Solanales; Solanaceae
Description: long non-coding RNA (NBEN_LNC035565)
Source: RNAcentral